CAAGCAUGCAAAACCAGGAGCCAGGGAGAGUUGACAGUGAGAGUCUAUGGACCAGAGCCCAGAGGAGUUUCAAAGUCAUGACUUCCUGAGACCGGCGAUCUUGUCCAGGGUGAACUCAGAGCAGACAUCGGUGCUGUAGGCCCACCUGAACUGAGAGCAUCAGGGCAUGUCUGCCUAGCCUCACCUUUUUCUCAGCAUAGGGCCUGUUGCAGGAAAAGAAUGGCUGCUUUCUAAGCACAAGAAUCUACUCUGAAGAAAUUCCCCCCAGCCUCCUGGCAGCAGGCGCCUUCCCUGUCCCCUACAGAAGGCGGCUGAGAGCUCAUCUACUCUGCAUUAAACAGCGAGGCCGGGUAGCUAGUGAGCUGGAACAUCUGGGUAGACAUCAGGGAAGGGUGGGAGGUAUUCAGCCUGUGCUACUUCAGUCUCAGCUUGCCGCUUUGCUUGGGGACACUGCUUCUCCUGGUGGCUUGCCCUGGAAGGAAGCACAGAGCUCCCGAGUGACUCCUUUUUCUGUAUCCUGCAGGAUCACACCUCAACACCCAAACCCUGAACUCCACACACUCUUGUCAUGCACACGGGAGGAGACCUGGACCAGAGGGCUACUGAAGGGUCGCACGCGUUCUGAGCUCCCCGGCAUGACCUCUGUAAGGAGUUUCCUUUAGUCUCCUAUUCGCAUGAAUGACUGGCUGUAGACGCAUGACCUACAGUCUUCAGUCCUGCCUCUAGCGACUAUGGAUCUCUGUGGGAAUCAGGACAAAGGCGGCGAGAGAAGGGAGCGGAUAAGGAGCCCCAAAG
Molecule: long non-coding RNA, 795 nt
Filed under: Rattus norvegicus (Norway rat)
Lineage: Eukaryota; Metazoa; Chordata; Mammalia; Rodentia; Muridae
Description: long non-coding RNA NONRATT012082
Source: RNAcentral